CCAGGUGCUCUUUAAAAUAUGACUCAUGAUGUUUAUAUUUAUUCCUGUUCACUGAUAACCAUUGGAGAUCGUCAAAUACACGUUUUCCUGGGAAAUGGAGUCAAGCUCCCUGGUCAAACCGAAUAAGCCAGAGGAAAAGCCUGGUUGAAGAACUACAAUACCCAUUAUACACUUUGCCAUUUUAAAACGAAACGUAAACGUUAAUGAUAUGAAUGUAAACAUUUUGCUGAGCAGCGAUUUUGCUUGUCAUUAAAAGAUUGGCAGUUACAAAAUACAAGAAUAGUUUGACAUGAUAUUGAAUUAGUUUUGAAAUAAUCCGAAUUCUCUGGGAAAUGUAAGAAGAAAGCCCCUGGACCAACAGAAUGAGUCCAAUGCAAAACCUAGUUGAUCAACUACAUUACCCACAAUGCACCAGGUAAGCGAUGGUAAGUGCGCCUUUAGCUAGCUACUAUAAGGAGCUAAAGGUGUUUCCAAACAGCGAUUUUGUUCAGCAUUAAAACGUUAAUGGUUGAUCAAACGGAAGAAUAUGUUGACAGGAUGUGAAAUUAUCCAACCGUUCCGUUUCGAGCAGUUAAAGUCCAGCGAUAAAGUGAAGCCGACACCGCGCUUGUGGCCGAGGCACCGGAGUGAAGUCGAUCUCCCGUCCGUCACGUGCCGGAAAACGAAGAACUUCGUCCGGCUGGCUCUUCUGGGAUGCGGCCAUCUUUGCGAAGGCCUGACAAGCGUUAGUCCUCCACCCAGUCCUCCGAAGUGACGUCGAUGUCCUCAGAGCCGGUCUGCUUGGUGGCCACGCGCCACCUGUUGAUGUGGUGGUUGCCCUUCUUCUGCUGCGCUUCCGGCCCGUCCUCCUCCAGCUUCUGCCGCUUGUACUUGGUCCGCCGGUUCUGGAACCACACCUUCACCUGUGUGCACACGAGGAGACACACACUUCAGCAAGACAACUGGCUAAGGUUGCUGCUCGACACGGACAGAACUACUUUUACGGAGUUCAAAGUCUACUCUCAUUGGGGAGCUACGGAACUGCAGUCUGGUCUGGCUGCCCACAAUAACUCCGACUCCCACUCCUGCAUCGCGCCCACAGUGGACGCACCACGAACGGCGAAGGAGGAAGCAGAAGCAGAAGCAAGGCGUGCGUACAUACAUAUACACACACACACACACACGCCACCACAGCCGGUCCGUGAAAAAAAAUGCCGACUCCUAACCGGUCCGCGGUGCAAAGAAGGUUGGGGAACACUGUCCUACAGUAUAUCUGCAUUACUGUUUUUAUGAUCUCGGGCAUUAUGAAAUGAACAUAAAGCAAGUGAUUCUUAAUCUUUAAGUCUUCCAUUCAUGCAAACUGCUGACUCGUCAGCUGUCUUUUUAAUUGGCCAUUAGGCCUCAUCGACACACACAUCACUCACGCACACCUUCAUCCAAUAACAGCGUUAAAUAUGUCACACGCUAUUUUGGACUUGUGCAAGUAGGGAAAGUUGAGGGUGUAAAUGCCAUCAUUACGACUAGCAAUGAAAAGUCUGCUUUGACCGCAUGAUGUGAUAGCGAUGCAUUGCAAUUUCUUCGAUUCUUCCACGUCGACGUUUUGGCGUUUCAUUUGUCAAAAUAUUUGGCAAGGAUUCAUUCGCCGACAUUUAA
Molecule: long non-coding RNA, 1632 nt
Organism: Phyllopteryx taeniolatus (common seadragon)
Lineage: Eukaryota; Metazoa; Chordata; Actinopteri; Syngnathiformes; Syngnathidae
Exons: 5
Source: RefSeq, a predicted model, not a curated record